This 979-nucleotide long non-coding RNA is filed under the name Paramuricea clavata. The record is from RNAcentral. Lineage: Eukaryota; Metazoa; Cnidaria; Anthozoa; Malacalcyonacea; Plexauridae.
ACAAAUUCUGGUGUUUUCCGGAAGUAAACGUGCUCUGCUGCAGCUAAAAAAUGCUGACUGUGCAUUAAUUUUUACUGAGGAGUGGAGACGUGUUGGCGAGAAGAAAAUAUUGGAUUUUUCUUUUGUUUCGAUGUAUUUUCCACCAUCAAGGGAAUAUGUGCAGACCACCUAAUGGAAUUAUACAUAUUGGGGUUUUAUAUUUCGUUAUAUCGUUAAUAUGCGUCAAAAUACAACCAUAUUUCGGUCUCGUAUUACAUGUAUCAAUUUUCAUGUGUGAUGUAAACAUGAUCGAGUCGAAAUGUGCUCGAAGUGGUUUGAUUCGAAACAUCAUGGGUUCUUGUACAGAUCCUGUUUCAACACGCGCUUGUAAAGUCACCUCAAAGAUUGGACAAAGCUGGACUGGAAAUUAAAGAGAAGUAAUUCGAAGCUUUAUCGUCUAUCGUAUGUUGUAUAAAGGAACAAGAACGACAUGUGACAUGUCUAAACGGCGGUGUGUGUCUGUUUACUGGGUUUAAUACAACAACUGCAAUAACAAUGAAUCACCUAACAUUUCAAGAAAAUAUAAAUUAUAGAUAGAUGUCAUGCAUGACCCCAUGAGUUUUGGAUUUGAAUUGCUAGAUUUAAAUCUAUAUUAUAUGUAUAUACAAAAUCAUGCGUGCGUAAAUUGGAGCAAAAAAACACAAGGUGUUUGUUUGGCCAUAUGCCCAUCAUGUAGUAUGAAUAUUGAACACCGUUUUAUAUAGCACGUUUAAAACGUUAUUUCCAUGCCGGAUAAUUCUGAAUCCUUCACAGAUUACAUGCGUGGCAAAUGAAGAAAAAUAAUUAUGUAAAAUAAUUAACCUAAUAUGUCUUUAGCCCUGAAUGCAACUCACUAUGCUGCUUUAUACAUCUGACAGUCAAAACUAUGUGCAUGACUGUAUGGCCCAAUGUAUGUUAAUUGUUUCAGGGAAAUUUUUGUUUUCAGAUUAAAGUAUAGCAA